Molecule: ribosomal RNA, 253 nt
Filed under: uncultured bacterium
Lineage: Bacteria
Description: partial 16S ribosomal RNA
Rfam family: Bacterial small subunit ribosomal RNA
Source: RNAcentral
UACGUAGGCAGCAAGCGUUGUUCGGAAUUACUGGGCGUAAAGAGUGUGUAGGCGGUGCUCCAAGUCUGGUGUGAAAUCUCCCGGCUUAACUGGGAGGGUGCAUUAGAAACUGGAAUGCUAGAGGAUGGGAGAGGUAAGCGGAAUUCCUGGUGUAACGGUGAAAUGCGUAGAUAUCAGGAGGAACACCUGUGGUGUAGACAGCUUACUGGACCAUUUCUGACGCUGAGACACGAAAGCGUGGGUAGCAAACAGG